This is a long non-coding RNA of Magallana angulata, 792 nucleotides long. RefSeq lists it as uncharacterized. NCBI's taxonomy places the organism in Eukaryota, Metazoa, Mollusca, Bivalvia, Ostreida, Ostreidae. The transcript is spliced from 3 exons. The record is from RefSeq and is a predicted model, not a curated record.
CCACGUCUUCUUACAGGUAAUAAAAAUAGAAUAUGUUUACCCUUCUCUAUAUUACAGCAAUAGCCUGGUGUUCAAGCUUCUGAAAAAAACAUCAAGCAUGGUGUUCAACAAAAGCAUCGUUCUAUUAAUGGUCGUUGGACUCUUUCUUAUGACGAACGCAGCAGAUACCAAAGCAAAAUGGUGCCACUUCUUCUUUGGAGGUAUUGCAGUAGGUGCAAAGCCACUUUUGGGGGCUGUUUGGGGACCAAUUUACGCAUCUGGGAUCUCGUCGGUUAUUUUUUCAGUUGCUGAAAAACUUUGCGGUGAAUGAAAUAAUUGCAGCUUUCUUUGAUUAUAAUCAUAUUUAUUUUACUAAAUAUAAUAAUUAUCAUGUUUUAAUAUUCAGAUAAUUUGUUUUUAUUACACGUGUUAUGUUUUAUCUUUAUUUUUUGUAGGUCAUGUAAUGAUUAUAAUAUUUUUUUUAUAUGGAAGUUGAUUGUAUGAGUAGUAGUUAAUAGCUGUUUUUGCUUUACUUUGGUAGUACAUGUAUACAAUCUUUAUACUUGCUAAUAAACAGACAUGACUACAUUAUAAAUGUUUAACAAUAUGACACCUUUUGUCACAAAUGAACUAUGCUUAAUUUAACAUAUUUAAAUGUCAAAAUGCAAUAAAAUAAAUCGUGUCCGUUGAUACAAAAUAACACUUUAUCUAAAAUUUUGUAAAAUGAUGAGAUUUGUUAAAUUUCCCAGUUGCCAAGACAUUUUAUCGUUAAUAAUCAGUUAUAUUAUCGUUGUUUUGUUUUACACAAUAAAA